GAGGGUAUAGCUCAGCCGUAGAGUGCAUGCCUAGCCUGCAUGAGGUCGUGGGUUUGAUCCCCAGUACCUCCA
Molecule: transfer RNA, 72 nt
Organism: Camelus ferus (Wild Bactrian camel)
Lineage: Eukaryota; Metazoa; Chordata; Mammalia; Artiodactyla; Camelidae
Rfam family: tRNA
About the family: Transfer RNA (tRNA) molecules are approximately 80 nucleotides in length. Their secondary structure includes four short double-helical elements and three loops (D, anti-codon, and T loops).
Source: Rfam